UGCUGAGCAAAAUUCCACAAAGGAGAG
RNAcentral lists this non-coding RNA (27 nucleotides) under Homo sapiens (human). Lineage: Eukaryota; Metazoa; Chordata; Mammalia; Primates; Hominidae. The record is from RNAcentral.